UACGUAGGUGGCGAGCGUUGUCCGGACUUACUGGGCGUAAAGAGCGCGCAGGCGGUCGUACAAGUCGCGUGUGAAAGCCCCCGGCUCAACUGGGGAGGGUCACGCGAUACUGUUCGACUCGAAGGCAGGAGAGGGUAGUGGAAUUCCCGGUGUAGUGGUGAAAUGCGUAGAUAUCGGGAGGAACACCAGUGGCGAAGGCGACUACCUGGCCUGUUCUUGACGCUGAGGCGCGAAAGCUAGGGUAGCAAACGGG
This 253-nucleotide ribosomal RNA is filed under the name uncultured bacterium. Its description in RNAcentral is "partial 16S ribosomal RNA". It matches the Rfam family "Bacterial small subunit ribosomal RNA", at positions 524 to 776 of the family's 1533-position model. The record is from RNAcentral.